UACAGAGGGGGCCAGCGUUAUUCGGAGUUAUUGGGCGUAAAGGGCGCGUAGGCGGCCAUGCGUGUCUUCCGUGAAAUCCCUCGGCUCAACCGAGGACGUGCGGAAGAAACUGCAAGGCUCGAGUCCGGAAGAGGGGGGCGGAAUUCCCAGUGUAGCGGUGAAAUGCGUAGAUAUUGGGAGGAACACCAGUGGCGAAGGCGACUCACUGGACUGGUACUGACGCUGAUGCGCGAAAGCGUGGGGAGCAAACAGG
This 253-nucleotide ribosomal RNA is filed under the name uncultured prokaryote. RNAcentral's name for it is "partial 16S ribosomal RNA". It matches the Rfam family "Bacterial small subunit ribosomal RNA", at positions 524 to 776 of the family's 1533-position model. The record is from RNAcentral.